This 549-nucleotide long non-coding RNA is filed under the name Homo sapiens (human). RNAcentral describes it as "HSALNT0263255". Lineage: Eukaryota; Metazoa; Chordata; Mammalia; Primates; Hominidae. The record is from RNAcentral.
CCAAGCAGAGAGAAUUCGGAUGGGCAAAGACCGUGAAGUAGGCUCAUGCCUGGUGAAUUUCAGGAAUGGUCAGUAGAUAGGGCAGCUGAGCCGAGGGAGUGGCUGAUCUCGUCUCGGCUCUGCUGGGGUUGACUCAAAUUCAGGUCUACUGCAUGUGUCUUUUGUUCUUCUGGGACCAGCCUGUUUGAUGCAGGAGGUUUGGACAGAAGGGGGACAAUGUCUCAGAGGUUCACAAGGAUUUGUCCAGCUGCUAAGUGUGGACUAGAUGGACCGGGAAUGAGGGCUGAAGCAGGGAGAAAAGAUAAGAAGCUACUACCACAAGCCAGACAAGAGAUGGUGUUGCUUUGAACCAAAGUUGGACUCCGAGGUUCUUUUCAAAGUGCUCAGAGGAAAUGCUGUGUGAGGACACAGCAAGAAGGCAGCCAUUUACAAGCCAGGCAGAGAGCCUUCACCAGAAACCCUCCCUGACAGCACCUUGAUCUCAGAUUUCCAGCCUCUCAGUGAGAGGCUGAACUGUGAGAAAAUAAAUUUCUGUUGUUUAAUCCUCUC